CCCUACGGGACGCAGCAGUGGGGAAUAUUGCACAAUGGGGGAAACCCUGAUGCAGCGACGCCGCGUGAGUGAAGAAGCGUUUCGGCGCGUAAAGCUCUGUCAGCGGGGAAGAGACACGGGUCGCGAGAGCCGCGGACGGUACCCGACCAAGAAGCCCCGGCUAACUACGUGCCAGCAGCCGCGGAACUACGUAGGGGGCAAGCGUUAUCCGGAUUCACUGGGUGUAAAGGGAGCGUAGACGGCGAGACAAGUCUGGAGUGAGAGGCAGGGGCCCACCCCCGGGACUGCGCUG
RNAcentral lists this ribosomal RNA (292 nucleotides) under uncultured bacterium. Its description in RNAcentral is "partial 16S ribosomal RNA". It matches the Rfam family "Bacterial small subunit ribosomal RNA", at positions 337 to 628 of the family's 1533-position model. The record is from RNAcentral.